Molecule: ribosomal RNA, 506 nt
Filed under: uncultured bacterium
Lineage: Bacteria
Description: partial 16S ribosomal RNA
Rfam family: Bacterial small subunit ribosomal RNA
Source: RNAcentral
AGUGAACGCUGGCGGUAGGCCUAACACAUGCAAGUCGAACGGCAGCACAGAGGAGCUUGCUCCUUGGGUGGCGAGUGGCGGACGGGUGAGGGAUACAUCAGAAUCUACUCUGUCGUGGGGGAUAACGUAGGGAAACUUACGCUAAUACCGCAUACGACCUACGGGUGAAAGCAGGGGACCUUCGGGCCUUGCGCGAUUGAAUGAGCCGAUGUCGGAUUAGCUAGUUGGCGGGGUAAAGGCCCACUAAGGCGACGAUCCGUAGCUGGUCUGAGAGGAUGAUCAGCCACACUGGAACUGAGACACGGUCCAGACUCCUACGGGAGGCAGCAGUGGGGAAUAUUGGACAAUGGGCGCAAGCCUGAUCCAGCCAUACCGCGUGGGUGAAGAAGGCCUUCGGGUUGUAAAGCCCUUUUGUUGGGAAAGAAAUCCAGCUGGCUAAUACCCGGUUGGGAUGACGGUACCCAAAGAAUAAGCACCGGCUAACUUCGUGCCAGCCGCCGCGGUAA